UGUUGAUGAAACCCAGGUUGUAGCCGUGC
RNAcentral lists this non-coding RNA (29 nucleotides) under Homo sapiens (human). Lineage: Eukaryota; Metazoa; Chordata; Mammalia; Primates; Hominidae. The record is from RNAcentral.